AGUGAACGCUGGCGGUAGGCUUAACACAUGCAAGUCGAACGGCAGCACAGUAAGAGCUUGCUCUUACGGGUGGCGAGUGGCGGACGGGUGAGGAAUACAUCGGAAUCUACUUUUUCGUGGGGGAUCACGUAGGGAAACUUACGCUAAUACCGCAUACGACCUACGGGUGAAAGCAGGGGAUCUUCGGACCUUGCGCGAUUGAAUGAGCCGAUGUCGGAUUAGCUAGUUGGCGGGGUAAAGGCCCACCAAGGCGACGAUCCGUAGCUGGUCUGAGAGGAUGAUCAGCCACACUGGAACUGAGACACGGUCCAGACUCCUACGGGAGGCAGCAGUGGGGAAUAUUGGACAAUGGGCGCAAGCCUGAUCCAGCCAUACCGCGUGGGUGAAGAAGGCCUUCGGGUUGGAAAGCCCUUUUGUUGGGAAAGAAAAGCAGCAGGUUAAGACCCCGCUGUUCUGACGGUACCCAAAGAAUAAGCACCGGCUAACUUCGUG
RNAcentral lists this ribosomal RNA (492 nucleotides) under uncultured bacterium. RNAcentral describes it as "partial 16S ribosomal RNA". It matches the Rfam family "Bacterial small subunit ribosomal RNA", at positions 29 to 507 of the family's 1533-position model. The record is from RNAcentral.